This 570-nucleotide ribosomal RNA is filed under the name uncultured bacterium. RNAcentral describes it as "partial 16S ribosomal RNA". It matches the Rfam family "Bacterial small subunit ribosomal RNA", at positions 355 to 918 of the family's 1533-position model. The record is from RNAcentral.
UGGGGAAUUUUGGACAAUGGGCGCAAGCCUGAUCCAGCCAUGCCGCGUGCGGGAAGAAGGCCUUCGGGUUGUAAACCGCUUUUGUCAGGGAAGAAAUCUUCUGAGUUAAUACCUCGGGAGGAUGACGGUACCUGAAGAAUAAGCACCGGCUAACUACGUGCCAGCAGCCGCGGUAAUACGUAGGGUGCAAGCGUUAAUCGGAAUUACUGGGCGUAAAGCGUGCGCAGGCGGUUUUGUAAGACAGAGGUGAAAUCCCCGGGCUCAACCUGGGAACUGCCUUUGUGACUGCAAGGCUUGAGUGCGGCAGAGGGGGAUGGAAUUCCGCGUGUAGCAGUGAAAUGCGUAGAUAUGCGGAGGAACACCGAUGGCGAAGGCAAUCCCCUGGGCCUGCACUGACGCUCAUGCACGAAAGCGUGGGGAGCAAACAGGAUUAGAUACCCUGGUAGUCCACGCCCUAAACGAUGUCAACUGGUUGUUGGGAAGGUUCCUUCUCAGUAACGUAGCUAACGCGUGAAGUUGACCGCCUGGGGAGUACGGCCGCAAGGUUGAAACUCAAAUGAAUUGACGGGG